AAGCGUUAGCUGCGCCACUGAAAGACAUAGUCUCCCAACAGCUAGUUGUCAUCGUUUACGGCGUGGACUACCAGGGUAUCUAAUCCUGUUCGCUACCCACGCUUUCGCACCUCAGUGUCAGUACAGAUCCAGGAGGCCGCCUUCGCCACUGGUAUUCUUCAUAAUAUCUACGCAUUCCACCGCUACACUAUGAAUUCUACCUCCCUCUAUCGUACUCUAGUGAGUUAGUUUUGGAUGCAGUUCCUAGGUUGAGCCCAGGGCUUUCACAUCCAACUUAACAAACCACCUACGCGCGCUUUACGCCCAGUAAUUCCGAUUAACGCUUGCACCUUCCGUAUUACCGCGGCUGCUGGCACGGAAUUAGCCGGUGCUUAUUCUGCAGGUAACAUCAGGGUUAUAAGGUAUUAACUUAUAACUUUUUCUCCCUGCUUAAAGUGCUUUACAACCCGAAGGCCUUC
This 458-nucleotide ribosomal RNA is filed under the name uncultured Gammaproteobacteria bacterium. RNAcentral describes it as "partial 16S ribosomal RNA". The record is from RNAcentral. Lineage: Bacteria; Pseudomonadati; Pseudomonadota; Gammaproteobacteria.